RNAcentral lists this ribosomal RNA (253 nucleotides) under uncultured bacterium. RNAcentral describes it as "partial 16S ribosomal RNA". It matches the Rfam family "Bacterial small subunit ribosomal RNA", at positions 524 to 776 of the family's 1533-position model. The record is from RNAcentral.
UACGUAGGGGGCAAGCGUUGUCCGGAUUUAUUGGGCGUAAAGAGCGUGUAGGCGGCUUUACAGGUCCGUUGUGAAAACUCGAGGCUCAACCUCGAGACGCCGGUGGAAACCGUAAGGCUAGAGUCCGGAAGAGGAGAGUGGAAUUCCUGGUGUAGCGGUGAAAUGCGCAGAUAUCAGGAAGAACGCCCGUGGCGAAGGCGGCUCUCUGGGACGGUACUGACGCUGAGACGCGAAAGCGUGGGGAGCGAACAGG